AUAAAAAAAAAAAAAAAAAAAUAGCACUGCAAAAGUCCUAAGCUUGGCCUAUUAAUUUUGGGCGACUUCGAUUUUGGGUGCCGCCAAGAGACGGGGUUUUUUAGCUGGUAGUGGGCUCAUAACUUCGUCUUCACCGGAGAUAAAGAAAUCAGCUGCGAACUCCGGCAAGGCUGGUACGUUAAGAUCAAAGCCACGAUGGCUCUGGCUGAGGCUGUGUGUGUUGGUUGACCCGACACCUUCAGAGGUGGAAGUCACCCCGCUCUUUUCUGCACCGCCUUCGUAGUGACACCUCUUGUGGCCGCCCAAGGCCUGUCCUGUUGGGAAAGUCUUGUGGCAGAUGGAGCACUCGUGAGUCUUACCACUUCCGUUAGAAACGGCGGCGGUGGCGGAGGUAGUUGUGGUUGUUGAAAUUGUUUGGUCUUCGCCUCCUGCGAGUUUCCUGUGACUUGCCUUAUGACCACCUAAGGCUUGGUAAGAAGAAAAUGACUUGUUGCAUACCGUACACUUAUAGCUAGAUUUCUGCUCCUCUGAAUUUGUGGAACCCUGGAGCUGAGGAGAUGGAGUAGGGGAGCGGUGGCGGUGUGGGACGGUGGAGGCAGAGGUUGAAGCAGUGGUGCCGCGAGCUAGCAUAACAAGGCAGAGAGCGAGAUACUCUUCCUCGGUGGGUUGGUGGUGAGGACGCUUGGAGCGCUUGCCCUUGGCCCAUGGCUCACGGAGAUGGUUAAGACUGCUGGAAUCCUCAAAUUGAGAAGAUGGAGCUGCUGUGGUUGGAGAGUUGAGCGCUUCUAGUGCCAUCUUAGACGUUUUUUGGAAUUUCUGAUCUUUGAUCUGAAAGUAGAAAGAAAAUGCAGAGUUGUGCCUUGUGCUGUGAGAAUAAAGAAGUGAAGAAGUGUUAGAGAGUUAAUGAGUAGAGUGGGCGUUAAGGUGGCUUUAUAAAGGGGGGAGAGUGGAGACUGGAGCUGGAAGCUGCGUGACAAGUGGUGGGAAGGUAUGAGGAGGUUUGAAGGGCAAUAAAAAAAAAAAAGUAGA
Molecule: unclassified non-coding RNA, 1029 nt
Filed under: Hevea brasiliensis (rubber tree)
Lineage: Eukaryota; Viridiplantae; Streptophyta; Magnoliopsida; Malpighiales; Euphorbiaceae
Source: RNAcentral